This 74-nucleotide transfer RNA is filed under the name Streptomyces tendae. Its description in RNAcentral is "tRNA-Tyr". The record is from RNAcentral. Lineage: Bacteria; Bacillati; Actinomycetota; Actinomycetes; Kitasatosporales; Streptomycetaceae. RNAcentral also lists the same sequence under 1 other name.
GUCAGUGCCCACUGGUAGCGCGGACUGUAAAUCUGCCGGCUCAGCCUUCCCAGGUUCGAAUCCUGGCGCCGCCA